RNAcentral lists this ribosomal RNA (464 nucleotides) under uncultured bacterium. Its description in RNAcentral is "bacterial SSU rRNA". It matches the Rfam family "Bacterial small subunit ribosomal RNA", at positions 32 to 507 of the family's 1533-position model. The record is from RNAcentral.
GACAACGCUGGCGGCGUGCCUAACACAUGCAAGUCGAACGGGGGAAUUUAUUCGGUAGAUUCCUUAGUGGCGAACGGUGAGUAACGCGUGAACAAUCUGUCUUUCAGAGGGGGAUAACACCUGGAAACAAGUGCUAAUACCGCAUAGGACCACGGGGUCACAUGAUCCUGGGGUGAAAGGAGCAAUCCGCUGAAGGAGGAGUUCGCGUCCCAUUAGGUAGAUGGCGGGGUAAAGGCCCACCAUGCCAACGAUGGGUAGCCGAGCUGAGAGGCUGAACGGCCACACUGGAACUGAGAGACGGUCCAGACUCCUACGGGAGGCAGCAGUGGGGAAUAUUGGGCAAUGGGCGAAAGCCUGACCCAGCAACGCCGCGUGAGGGAAGAAGGUUUUCGGAUUGUAAACCUCUGUCGCAGGAGACGAAAGAAAUGACGGUAUUCUGUGAGGAAGCCCCGGCUAACUACGUG